This 408-nucleotide ribosomal RNA is filed under the name Chelonus insularis. RNAcentral's name for it is "partial 16S ribosomal RNA". Lineage: Eukaryota; Metazoa; Arthropoda; Insecta; Hymenoptera; Braconidae. The record is from RNAcentral.
CAAAAACAUGUCUAAUAGAUUAUAUAAUUUUUAGUCAAAUCUGCUCAAUGAAUUUUAAAUAGCUGCAGUAUAAAUAACUGUACUAAGGUAGCAUAAUAAAUAGUUUCUUAAUUAGAAACUUGUAUGAAAGAUUUAAUGAAAAAUUAACUUUAUUUAUUAAAAAAAUUUAAUUUUUAUUUAAAUAAAAAUAUUUAAAUAAAAUAAAUAAACAAAAAGACCCUAAAAACUUUAUAAAUUUUAUAAAUACAUUUAUUUAAUUGGGGAAAUUAAAAAAAUUAAAAAAUUUUUUUAUUAUAAACAAUAAUAUUUGAAAAAAAUAAUUUUAAUAAAAUAAAUAAAAAAGUUACUUUAGGGAUAACAGUAUAAUUUUUUUUUUUAGAUCAAAUAAAUAAAAAAGUUUAUGACCUC